AUUGAACGCUGGCGGCAGGCCUAACACAUGCAAGUCGAGCGGAUGAAGGGAGCUUGCUCCUGGAUUCAGCGGCGGACGGGUGAGUAAUGCCUAGGAAUCUGCCUGGUAGUGGGGGAUAACGUCCGGAAACGGGCGCUAAUACCGCAUACGUCCUGAGGGAGAAAGUGGGGGGUCUUCGGACCUCACGCUAUCAGAUGAGCCUAGGUCGGAUUAGCUAGUUGGUGGGGUAAAGGCCUACCAAGGCGACGAUCCGUAACUGGUCUGAGAGGAUGAUCAGUCACACUGGAACUGAGACACGGUCCAGACUCCUACGGGAGGCAGCAGUGGGGAAUAUUGGACAAUGGGCGAAAGCCUGAUCCAGCCAUGCCGCGUGUGUGAAGAAGGUCUUCGGAUUGUAAAGCACUUUAAGUUGGGAGGAAGGACAGUAAGUUAAUACCUUGCUGUUUUGACGUUACCAACAGAAUAAGCACCGGCUAACUUCGUG
This 484-nucleotide ribosomal RNA is filed under the name uncultured bacterium. RNAcentral describes it as "partial 16S ribosomal RNA". It matches the Rfam family "Bacterial small subunit ribosomal RNA", at positions 30 to 507 of the family's 1533-position model. The record is from RNAcentral.